UCCAAUCCAUCUGCAUCUGGAGCUCCACCUCGCUCUAAGCUCCCACUGGCUUCUAAAGCUCCACCUCAUACUAAGCUUCUUGCCAAGAGGUAAUAUCCUCCAUACUUCUUUUCCUUCAUUACAAUUCUACUGCCACGCAAAAUCUUCAUAAUUUCAUCCUCAGCUCUCCACAUGUAGCUGCUUGAAUCCAGUUUGCUUAGUG
This 202-nucleotide long non-coding RNA is filed under the name Elaeis guineensis (African oil palm). RNAcentral's name for it is "long non-coding RNA (EGUI_LNC001891)". Lineage: Eukaryota; Viridiplantae; Streptophyta; Magnoliopsida; Arecales; Arecaceae. The record is from RNAcentral.